Mangifera indica (mango) is the source of this 2900-nucleotide long non-coding RNA. RefSeq lists it as uncharacterized. The transcript is spliced from 9 exons. The record is from RefSeq and is a predicted model, not a curated record. NCBI's taxonomy places the organism in Eukaryota, Viridiplantae, Streptophyta, Magnoliopsida, Sapindales, Anacardiaceae.
AAACUUCAUUUAACCUACCUUCAACUUAGAUUACUCAAAAAUUAAGUAAUCUCUUCCUUCGUCAAUUGAGUUAGUGUCGUCUUUUGUCUCUCUUCAAUGCUUAUGCAACCCUUCGAUGUGCUUUCUCCUCUAAUGCAAUGUCCUAAAGAAACAUCUAAUGCAAUGUCCUAAAGAAACAUGAGUCGGCAAAGAGAUUAGAGCUUUGGUCCAAAUCUCUUUGUUGGGGAAGAGAUUUGAACUGUUGGCCUGUGUUUCUUGGGUGAGAAAUAGUCACGGAUGUAUAUCUAUAAAUCUCUGAUGAAGAGAUUCUCAACCGAUGGUGGCUAGGGACAGAAAAAAAAUAAGAGUGGAGAAAUAUGUAUUUUUUAAAAUUAAAAAUAUUUAGAUAGAUGAAAAUGAAAUAAAGUUUAAAUUUUUUAAUAUAAUUAUUAAAAUGAUGGUUUUAUUUUUAAUUAAAAUUAACACAUAAAACGGUUUAAAUUUUUAAAACUGGACAAAAUAUAUAUUUAGAUAUAUACAUUAAAGCUUGGGUGGCCACCGAAAGUGUGGCCGAAGUAAGAUACAUCAACGGCACCAACACCAUCCUGGGAAAAAAAAUCAGAUAUCGGACAAGGGCAAGGCAACAAUCUCUGUUUUUACGAAUGUCGAGAUUAUUUUCCCGCUUUCAUAUCACUGCUGCUCUCCUGGUCCUGGUCUUACGAUAUCUUAAAAUGUUAUCAAUUUAGUUAUCUCAUCGAGGCAACCAAAAACUACUCAGUGGAUUACGACUCGGGACUCCGCUCGUUUGGGUUUCACUAGUAAGCGGAAAAAGUGAGUUUAGUGCGUUUUCUGUUGUGUUGCUUUUUACCGAGUUCCAAGUCAAUGGUGUUGGUAGCAUUUGCGGAUCUUUUCAUCGUUUUCUUUUGUGGGCACUCCAAAGUUUUUGCCUUUGACAGUCUUCUUUCUCCUAAAGGCGUGAACUAUGAUAUGAAGCUACAUGUAAUGGGAGGUUGGGAUAUAAAUUCUGUGGAUCCAUGCUUUUGGAACCUGGUUGCUUGGUUGCUCGACUGAGGGUUUCCUCAUUUCCCUGCUUGAAAUGGCUCGUAUGGAUUUAUCUAGAACUCUUUCUUUCUCCCAGUAUUGGCAACUUAACUCUCCUAAGAACAGUGGUUGUUGUAUAAUAAUCAGUUAAGUGGUUCUAUCCUAGCUGAGAUAGGGAUGCUUUCUCGACUUCAAACGCUUGACCUUUCCGGUAACCGAACUUGUUGGAGAAAUUCCAAGUUCUUUGGGGUUUCUUACUCAUGUAACUUACUUUUUUUUCAGGCGGCUUGACAAGAACAAUUUAUCUGGUCCAAUUCCUCCCCUUGUAGCCAAUCUCACAAGUCUUUCCUUCUUGAAGUAUGUGUUUCAUUUUAACUGUGUUUGCUCUCUCUUAGAUUGUGUCAUAUAACAAUUAUGAUUUAUACAUUUAAAUCCUCUGCUAGGAUUUAUCUUUCAAUAAUUUCGGUGGUCCAACACCCAAAAUAUUAGCAAAAGCAAAUAGGUGAGAUAUUUGGUAGAAAGAGAUUUUGAUCAUAAAUUUAUUGUUCUUUGACUAAUUGUUAGCCUGUUAUCAUCUAUUCACUAUCCUUCAUUGUUGGCAUGCUGGGAUUUCAUUGGAGUUACAAAGAUGUGUGAUGCAGUAGAACAUACGGUGAACAAUUGGUGUGUACUUAAGGAUUGUGCUUUAUCUAAUGCAACAAUUUCCUGAAUUUCUUGUUUAUGAAUUCUUCACUAAUGAAUCAAAAUGAAAAUGCAACUUGCAGUGGUAUGUUUAGAUUUUGAUAGUAACUAAAGGGAAGAUUAAGUCUGCUACAAUGGCCAUUUACUUAUUUAAUGAUAAACUGAUGACAUUUUGAUAGGCCUUAAAGUCUGUGCGUUUUGAUCUAGUUUUACUGGGAACAACUUUCUUUGCACUUCUCCAUCUGAGCAAAUUUGCCUGGGUGUUUCUAAACCAUCAAAGGAGACAUGUUUAACUCCAAAAGCCGGUGGGUAUUGCCGAUGGAUGAUUUCUGUUAAUGUAUGCAUCAGCUGCAAUUUUGUUGUUUCCGUGAUGUUGCUUGUUUGUUAGGUGCAUUGUGCUGCAAGAUCAUGAAUUUGAUAUUGUUCAUGAGAAGAGGUUCUCACUUCAUAAAUUACAAAUUGCUACUGUAACCUUAGUGCCAAAAACAUUCUGGGGCAGGGAGGAUAUAGAGUAGUUUAUAAAAAUGUCCUCCAAAUAGGACAGUGAUGGCAGUUGAAAGGUUAAAAGAUCCAAAUUUCACCUGAGAAAUGCAGUUUCAGACUAAAGUUGAGAUGAUUGGAUUAGCAUUGCAUCGGAAUCUGUUAUGCAUGAAUGGCUUCUGUUUGAUGCCUGAGGAAAGGUUGCUUGUUUAUCCUCAUAUGCAAAAUGGGACUGAGUGUUGCUGCUUGCUUGAGAGAAAUCUUAUCUAUAAAUAUGAUCGGAAUAGUUGAUAGAUUCUCAUCUGCAUUCUUCCACAAAUUAAACACAUCUCCAGCCCAAGGAAGGAAGAAUGAUACCAGUUAGAACCUUAUACGAAGAAAGGAGGCUAGAAUUGCUAGUAGAUAGGGAUCUGAAGGGACAAUUCAAUUUAAUGGUAUUGGAAAAUGCUGUAGAGUUGGCUCUGCUGUGUACUCAGUCACAUCCUAACCUUUGCGCAAAGAUGUGAGCAGUUUUGAAGGUCCUGGAAGUUCUUGUUGAGCAGGCAGGAAUUGAAGAGGCACAAGGUGGAUCCAAUCUUGGCAAGGCAAGACAGUGAUGCCCAAGAAGAAUCAGAACUUUCUGAACCACAGUAACAAAAUCAUUUCUGCAUCUAACUGUAAAUGAGUUUCUCAUCUGACUAACCUUCAGUUUUUUGCAGAACUCUUAUAUAUAUAUAUAU